AGUGAACGCUGGCGGUAGGCCUAACACAUGCAAGUCGAACGGCAGCACAGUAAGAGCUUGCUCUUACGGGUGGCGAGUGGGGGACGGGUGAGGAAUACAUCGGAAUCUACUUUUUCGUGGGGGAUAACGUAGGGAAACUUACGCUAAUACCGCAUACGACCUACGGGUGAAAGCAGGGGAUCUUCGGACCUUGCGCGAUUGAAUGAGCCGAUGUCGGAUUAGCUGGUUGGCGGGGUAAAGGCCCACCAAGGCGACGAUCCGUAGCUGGUCUGAGAGGAUGAUCAGCCACACUGGAACUGAGACACGGUCCAGACUCCUACGGGAGGCAGCAGUGGGGAAUAUUGGACAAAGGGCGCAAGCCUGAUCCAGCCAUGCCGCGUGGGUGAAGAAGGCCUUCGGGUUGUAAAGCCCUUUUGUUGGGAAAGAAAAGCAGCAGGUUAAUACCCCGCUGUUCUGACGGUACCCAAAGAGUAAGCACCGGCUAACUUCGUG
This 492-nucleotide ribosomal RNA is filed under the name uncultured bacterium. RNAcentral's name for it is "partial 16S ribosomal RNA". It matches the Rfam family "Bacterial small subunit ribosomal RNA", at positions 29 to 507 of the family's 1533-position model. The record is from RNAcentral.